GAUGAUGAUCGACUUCUCAUUGUCGGGAUCCCAAAAGUCUUCGAACCUCCAUACAGGACUAUCCAAGCCACGGGGUUCAGAACUUCAAUGUUCAGAUGAGGAGCCAGCCUUGGUAGUAGUCGAAGGAGCAUCCUCAGACCCAGUUCGGAGAGGAGGUGGCCGAGAGCUCUAGCUGCCUCAAUGAUUCUCACCCCUAGCCCAACUAUCGGAAGACAUUGGGAAGAAGAAAAUGAAAAAUUGAAGAGACUAAAGAAAGA
RNAcentral lists this long non-coding RNA (257 nucleotides) under Elaeis guineensis (African oil palm). RNAcentral's name for it is "long non-coding RNA (EGUI_LNC020698)". Lineage: Eukaryota; Viridiplantae; Streptophyta; Magnoliopsida; Arecales; Arecaceae. The record is from RNAcentral.